This 447-nucleotide ribosomal RNA is filed under the name uncultured bacterium. Its description in RNAcentral is "bacterial SSU rRNA". It matches the Rfam family "Bacterial small subunit ribosomal RNA", at positions 355 to 825 of the family's 1533-position model. The record is from RNAcentral.
UGGGGAAUCUUGGACAAUGGGCGCAAGCCUGAUCCAGCCAUGCCGCGUGGAUGAUGAAGGCCUUAGGGUUGUAAAAUCUUUUCGCCGAGGACGAUAAUGACGGUACUCGGAGAAGAAGCUCCGGCUAACUUCGUGCCAGCAGCCGCGGUAAUACGAAGGGGGCUAGCGUUGUUCGGAUUUACUGGGCGUAAAGCGCGUGUAGGCGGGUCGUUAAGUUGGGGGUGAAAUCCCGAGGCUCAACCUCGGAACUGCCUUCAAAACUGGCGACCUGGACCUAAGUAGAGGCAAGUGGAAUUGCGAGUGUAGAGGUGAAAUUCGUAGAUAUUCGCAGGAACACCAGUGGCGAAGGCGACUUGCUGGACUUAUGGUGACGCUGAGACGCGAAAGCGUGGGGAGCAAACAGGAUUAGAUACCCACGUAGUCCCUGAGCGGGCUGGCAAGGCGCAU